GGCUUUGAAUUCCAAAGAGUGUACGGAGAACUGUUUUCAGCUGAAGUUGUUUGCACAGUCUCUGAAUGAAGCUAUUGUAAAGAAAAAAAUUUCAUUGGAAGGCUACUGAGCGUUGCACUGAAAUCACAGAAGUAUCUGUGUAUACUGCAACAUAACAUGCUACAAAAAACCCCACCACCAACACACACCCAAACAAAAAAAACCCCAAACCAAAACCAAACAAGGAAAUGACUGCAAAAAGGUAUAUUUUGACAACCUCAGAAAUAAAGAGAGUCUUCACUGACAGUUUUGCCAUUGCACUGUUACCAGGGGCUCUUGCCCCACAAAUUCAAGACAUCUGUCUUGUAUCCUUGAAUUGGUAUCAGUUUCAAAUUAUUCUUUGUUGCUAUCACGCCUCUUGAACUUCCUUCUCUCUUCAACUCACGAUCUGUCCAUAAUUUUUCGCCGGUUUACCCACCUUUGCCUCUUUUCGUAUCUCUAUGCUAUUCCCUCCGUAUGCUAGACUGGCAAUGCCAACCUUGCACAUAGGUAUUUGUUACCCUCUCCGUCAUCUUCCCUACUUAAAUUUUCUCGAAAAGCUGUACAUCAGUGCUUCUAAUACAAAUCCUGAGAUUUUUGAGAGUCCUGUGACAUCUGUAAAAACUAAAAAUAGGUGGCUGUACAUGCAUACAUCUUCAGUUUACUAAUAUAUUGCUAAAGGCAACUUUGUACAAAAUGAAAAACUAACAACUACUUCAGAUACACAGAAAGACUUAGGUAAAUAUGUUAGCUUUCAGAUAUUUCCUCUCACAGCAAAUUAACACUCAAUAUAGUUACAGUGUGAAAUUCACUGGGUCUGAGUACUCAGCGCUUGUCCAUUGUAGUUAUCAUUUCUGUUCCCACUGACCCUUUCUAGGGAGUCAUUGAGCCCAGUGUAAUAAUUUGCUGCAAAUAGCCUUUAUUCAAAUGAGGAAUUGCUCACGAGAAUUAUGAAUUCACAUAGUGAUACCUCUUACAGGAUUAGAUCUAAUAAAAUGUCACCUGAUACAAUUUCUUAUGGAAAUGAGUUUUCUAGACCAUUUCUCUCUUUCUAGUUGCGCUGUUACCUCUGCUGCCGCCAUAUUCCAAAGAAAUUUAUUGUUAUUUUCAUUUCUUUAAUUUACACAAAAUGUUUACUGAACAUAAUUGUUAUGGCAAAGUCUCUUUUUGCAGGGCAAAGAGAAUUGUGCACGAAUAAUUCAGUCUAUUGAGUUAUUCACAACCAUUGUGUUUGCGCCCUACUGACACUGUAUUUUUCUCUGAAAAAUAUUGGAAAUUAUUUUCACUGAUGGGAAAUAAUGAGUCAAUGAGAUAAGAGACACUGGAUUCAGUAAGCUCAAUGCAAAUUAUUGUAGAAAGUUUUUAAAGUGUCUGUCCAUAAAAUAUCAGUGGUUGUUUUUUUCUUCCUCAAGGUUACUUUGAAAGCAAAUAUUUUGAGGCUGCCAUAGACUUUUGGUUACUCUGAGAGCCAGUGAAGAAAGAAAAUAAAAAAUCCAGAGUAAGAGACAAGUAAGCAAUGGUAAUGACUAGAAAAAUCCAUGAGAAAUGCAGUCAGUUCUGCAGAUUUCAGCUGUAUAUAUAUGAAGAUGUACACCUGUGAGAUUUUCAAACUCGAUUAGAACUACCUGGAUUAGAAGCUCGCUUAGAAGAUCCUGGAAUUACUGUCGGUAAGAGAAGCAAGUACCCUUUUGUCUCAU
Falco peregrinus (peregrine falcon) is the source of this 1715-nucleotide long non-coding RNA. RefSeq lists it as uncharacterized. The record is from RefSeq and is a predicted model, not a curated record. NCBI's taxonomy places the organism in Eukaryota, Metazoa, Chordata, Aves, Falconiformes, Falconidae. The transcript is spliced from 3 exons.